RNAcentral lists this ribosomal RNA (344 nucleotides) under uncultured bacterium. RNAcentral describes it as "bacterial SSU rRNA". It matches the Rfam family "Bacterial small subunit ribosomal RNA", at positions 28 to 372 of the family's 1533-position model. The record is from RNAcentral.
GACGAACGCUGGCGGCGUGCUUAACACAUGCAAGUCACGGGGGCUGGCUGGCGAACUGGCCAGUAACCGGCGAACGGGUGCGUAACACGUGAGCGACCUGCCUUAUUGAGGGGGAUAGCCGGCCCAACGGCCGGGUAAUACCGCAUACGCUUGAGUGGGGCAUCCCUGUUCAAGGAAACCUCCGGGGCGAUAAGAGGGGCUCGCGGCCCUAUCAGCUAGUUGGUGAGGUAACGGCUCACCAAGGCGAUGACGGGUAGCUGGUCUGAGAGGAUGGCCAGCCACAUUGGGACUGAGAGACGGCCCCAGACUCCUACGGGAGGCAGCAGUGGGGAAUCUUGCGCAAU